This 243-nucleotide ribosomal RNA is filed under the name uncultured bacterium. RNAcentral's name for it is "partial 16S ribosomal RNA". It matches the Rfam family "Bacterial small subunit ribosomal RNA", at positions 791 to 1035 of the family's 1533-position model. The record is from RNAcentral.
UAGUCCACACCGUAAACGAUGAUUACUAGGUGUUCGAGGAUUGACCCCUUCAGUGCCGCAGUUAACACAAUAAGUAAUCCACCUGGGGAGUACGACCGCAAGGUUGAAACUCAAAGGAAUUGACGGGGGCCCGCACAAGCAGUGGAGUAUGUGGUUUAAUUCGACGCAACGCGAAGAACCUUACCAAGUCUUGACAUCCUCUGACGAACGUAGAAAUACGUUUUCUCUUCGGAGCAGAGAGAC